This 521-nucleotide ribosomal RNA is filed under the name uncultured bacterium. RNAcentral describes it as "bacterial LSU rRNA". It matches the Rfam family "Bacterial large subunit ribosomal RNA", at positions 977 to 1498 of the family's 2925-position model. The record is from RNAcentral.
GCAGCAGUGAGACCCCCGGGGGAUGAGCUUCGGGGUCGAGAGGGAAACAGCCCAGACCGUCGGCUAAGGUCCCAAAAUCCAGACUAAGUGGUAAAACGAUGUGAGAUUGCGAAGACAGCCAGGAGGUUGGCUUAGAAGCAGCCACCCUUGAAAGAGUGCGUAACAGCUCACUGGUCGAGUGAUCUUGCGCGGACAAUGUAACGGGGCUCAAGUCUGGUACCGAAGCCACGGGUUCGAUCUUUGAUCGAGCGGUAGCGGAGCGUCGAUCUCGCAGUGAAGCGGCAGGGGUGACCGGUCGUGGAGCGUGGUCGAGUGAGAAUGUUGGCAUGAGUAGCGAAAGAGGGGUGAGAAACCCCUCGCCGGAUGUCCAAGGGUUCCUGGGGAAGGCUAUUCCACCCAGGGUGAGUCGGGAGCUAAGGCGAGGCCGAGAGGCGUAGUCGAUGCACAACCGGUUGAUAUUCCGGUACCACCACAUGCGCGUCCAUUCCAAUUUCAGCUUGCUAAGGGGCUGUGCCGGCUUU